AUUGAACGCUGGCGGCAGGCCUAACACAUGCAAGUCGAGCGGAUGAAGGGAGCUUGCUCCUGGAUUCAGCGGCGGACGGGUGAGUAAUGCCUAGGAAUCUGCCUGGUAGUGGGGGAUAACGUCCGGAAACGGGCGCUAAUACCGCAUACGUCCUGAGGGAGGAAGUGGGGGAUCUUCGGACCUCACGCUAUCAGAUGAGCCUAGGUCGGAUUAGCUAGUUGGUGGGGUAAAGGCCUACCAAGGCGACGAUCCGUAACUGGUCUGAGAGGAUGAUCAGUCACACUGGAACUGAGACACGGUCCAGACUCCUACGGGAGGCAGCAGUGGGGAAUAUUGGACAAUGGGCGAAAGCCUGAUCCAGCCAUGCCGCGUGUGUGAAGAAGGUCUUCGGAUUGUAAAGCACUUUAAGUUGGGAGGAAGGGCAGUAAGUUAAUACCUUGCUGUUUUGACGUUACCAAAAGAAUAAGCACCGGCUAACUUCGUG
This 484-nucleotide ribosomal RNA is filed under the name uncultured bacterium. RNAcentral's name for it is "partial 16S ribosomal RNA". It matches the Rfam family "Bacterial small subunit ribosomal RNA", at positions 30 to 507 of the family's 1533-position model. The record is from RNAcentral.